UACCGCUGCCGCCAGACGGAAGGAAAUU
This 28-nucleotide ribosomal RNA is filed under the name Colletotrichum truncatum. Its description in RNAcentral is "partial 18S ribosomal RNA". Lineage: Eukaryota; Fungi; Ascomycota; Sordariomycetes; Glomerellales; Glomerellaceae. The record is from RNAcentral.